This 11267-nucleotide long non-coding RNA is filed under the name Gossypium barbadense (sea-island cotton). Its description in RNAcentral is "long non-coding RNA (GBAR_LNC009763)". The record is from RNAcentral. Lineage: Eukaryota; Viridiplantae; Streptophyta; Magnoliopsida; Malvales; Malvaceae.
UUGCAUAAUUGGAGAUGGGUUUUUAGGCUUUGCUCUUGAUGUUGCAAAGGAGCUUGGAAUCCCCAUUAUUUUUUUUCGUACCAGCAGUCCUUGUUGUUUCUGGGUUUAUCAUUCUAUCCCUGAUAUAAUCCAAGCUGGGGAGCUUCCUAUCAAUGGUAAAUCCAUUUCUUUUCAUCAACUUGUUUAUUGUACCAUGUUUAGCACUGUUUUUAAUUUAGAAUAACACAAAUAAAACCUUAAGUCGAAAUGAUUUUACAAGCAUGUUGAAGAAAUUAACAAGAAAGACGUUUGGAAUAUUCCUGUUAAUUAGGCGAGUUGAUUUGGUUUAAGUUGGAUUAAAUCGGAAUUUAAAAAUUUUAAAUCAUUUCAUGUUUGAAUGAUUUUGAGUUUCAAUUUUUUUUAAGAGGUUUGGAUUGUUUCCAGUUAAAAUCAUUUUGGGUUCUUGUCAUUUAGAUUUACUAAUUUAACUUUUAAAUUUGAGUUAUUUUGGGUCAUUUUGUUUCCGGGUCACUUUAGGUUAGCUAGCUGGGUUUUUUGUUUCAAUUUUCAAGUUGAAUCAUUUCAGGAUUGUUUUCAUUCGGGUUUAAUACUUAAGUUUGGACCACUUUGGGUAACUUGUUCCCGUUGUUUUUAAGUUCGAGUCGUUUAAAGUUGGGAUCAUGUUUGAGCUUAGAUCAUUUUGAAUUUGAGUUGUUAAAUUUCUAUGAUUAAAUAAAUUUGAAUCUGAUUUGAGUUUGAAUUAAUUGGGCUUGUGAUCAUUGACACUAGUAAAUGGGUUUUUGUUAAACAAUUGAAGGAAGUGAAGACAUGGACCGGUUAAUAACGACAGUGCCAGGCAUGGAAACUUAUCUUCGAUGUCGAGAUCUUCCUACUUUUUGUCGAAAACUGGACAUUGAAGAUUCAAGUAUGAAGCUAGUUGUAAAACAGACUCGAAAGAGCCUUCAAGCCGAUGCCUUGAUACUCAACACCGCCGAAGAGCUUGAUGGGCCUAUACUAUCUCAAAUACGCACCAAAUGCCCUCGUGUCUAUGCCGUUGGACCCUUACAUGCUCAAUUAAACACUAGACUCAAUGCAAAACAUGGAGAAUCAUAUGAUCACUUCUCGAAUACACUUUGGGAAGUGGAUAAAAGCUGCAUCUUUUGGCUCAAUAAGCAACCGAAUCGAUCUGUUAUCUAUGUAAGUUUUGGUAGCAUUACGAGCACGUCAAGGGAGCAACUUGUAGAGCUUUGGUAUGGACUUCUUAACAGUAAAACGAAGUUCUUGCUUGUUGUAAGGCCGAAUUCCGUCAUUGGAAAAGAUGGUGAAGGGGAGGAUGUUGUAAUGGAGCUUAUGGAGAAGAGUAAGGAUCGAGGUUACAUUGUAAAUUGGGCACCACAAGAGGCAGUCUUGAACCACCCGGCCAUUGGCGGGUUCUUUACGCAUAAUGGAGUCGACUUUAGAGAGCAUUGUCGCAGGGGUGCCUAUGAUUUGCUGGCCUCAGUUUGCUGACCAACACGUGAAUAGUAGGGUUGUGAGUGAGGUGUGGAAAAUAGGGUUGGAUAUGAAGGAUGUAUGUGAUAGCAAGAUAGUGGAGAAAAUGGUAAAUGAUGUGAUGGUGGAUCGAAAGGAGGAGUUUGCAAAAUCCGCAUCUGAAAUGGCUAAGGUAACCAAUCAAUGUGUUAAUGUUGGUGGGUCUUCUUAUAGUAAUUUGGACUGUUUAAUUGAAGAUAUUAGAAUAAUGAGCUUGAAAACUCACAAAAAAUGAUAGCUUCUUAAUAACUCCCCUUCGAUAGUAGCAACAAUACAUCCCCCAGUAAACAGAAAAGAAUUGGAGAUGACUUUUUAUUUUUAUUUUUUUCUUAAAAAGUGGAUGCAUUAUAAGAUAGGAUUUUUUUUUUUACACUAUGAGUAUGAAGCGGUUAUAAUAAUUAUUUUUCUUGUUCCGCCCUACCCAUUAUAUAAAGUUACCAUUUUACCCUAUAUAUUUGUUGAUACAAUGUACAACAAAAAAGGAAGAUAAGGAGGAGAUCAAGAUGGUAUAAUGGAGGUCAAUUCAUCUAAAGAUUUCAAGAGCCGAAACAAGAACAAGAAGAUAGGCUGACCAAGAAGACAAUUGCUCAGAGUAACUCUAGGGUGCUAAAAGAAUGAUCUUUUUACAUCAUUUCUUGGAAUAUUUCCUCUUGUUCACUGGUAUGACAUGGCCAGAUAAACAUUCAAUCCCGCUAAAUGUGUAAAGGGUAUUUAUAGGCAUAUGUCAUGAGACCUUAUCAGUAUGAGAUUAUUAUCCUAAAUGGACUCCUUAUCAUAUAAAAAGUGCGUUCAUGCUAGGAGAAUGUUAAUACUUAAAAUGGGCGGAUGGCUCUCUCCGAGAGGAAGAGGUGGUCUGUCAAAAUGUUACUUCAAAUGAAGUUAAUAGGAGGUCUACGAUGCAUCUGGUAUUGACAUGUGUUCGAGGAACAAAGAGGUAUAGCAACAUUAAAAGAGUAAAAAUAUAAAAAUAUGUUUAAACCUUGAAUUACUUAGUUCAGAUUUAGUGAUUUCUGACAAAUUUUUCAUAAUUAAAUUAGUGAUCAAAUUGAUCAGACAACCGUUUCCUAAUUCAAUCGGUCCAAUUAAUUGGAUCAAUCGAUUCAAUAAAAAAUAAAUUAUAAAUAUAAAAUCCAUUUUUUUAUAAAUUUUGAAAUCUCAAAGUUUUGUAAGUCCACUUUAAAACUAUAUAUUGCCCAUUGAUUGAAAAUUUGUAAAUCCACUUUUAAAGAAUUUAAAAGUUCCUUGCAAAUAUGCAACUCAUCUCUUUUACUCUUUAGACUUGUAAACUUCUCUUCCACUUCCUUUUUGUCUUUCCCUCUUCUCAUUUAUUCUAACUAUUUCUUAAAAGAUCGGUUUUUUUCUAUUCUUUUCUUCUUCUCAAAUACUCAAGUCUCUUUGGUAUCAUUUCAAAUCUCGGAUUGUUCUUCUUUUCCACCAAAUCUUAAGAGGCAAAUCUGGUUGUAACAUGGUUCACAAGAUAGGACUCAAAAAUAAAAUAAAAAUUGAUAAAAAAUUAAUUAAAAACAUAAUAAUAUAAUACUAAAUAAAAUAUUGGUUUAAUCGAUUUUUUAAAGUUUCUAAACCCCGUUUAAUUAGGUUUUAAUUUGUUCAUAAUAGUUUGUUCAUAACAGUUCGCUUAUUAUCUAUUUUAAUAAGAAGUGUCGGAUCGUUAAAUCUAUUAAUUUUCAAUUCAAACAAUUUAGCUAAUCAAUACAAUUCAAUUUUGACAACAUUAAUUUCUGAUUUCUAGUUGCUAAUAUAAGAAAAUUAAGAUAAAUUAAUUGCUAGAGAAUUUUUCCUUUUUACUUGGGAGGGUUGUUCCAAGUAAUCAAAAUUAUGUUUCAAUUUCUUUUAAAGAAUUAAGUUUAAAAUAUUAAAAAUAAUUAAGAAAAAUCAAAAUGAAACAAUCGUAUGGUAAAAUGAGAAUGGAUAUAUUUAAUAAAUUAUAAAAUUAAAUAUCUAUGAUGGAACGAAAUAGAUAAUAAAAUAAUUAUUAAGAUUUAACAAUAUUUGCUAGGUGUUGUUACAUUUUCAUCCCAAUGGAGAGCAAUGUUAUGUUGAAUUUACUUUUUGGACCAACAAUUGAGAAGUCGGCUUUGUUUGGGAUUUUUUUAUUUUUUUUUAUUUUUCAGAAAUGGUGCAUGAAAGGGUCGAUGAAAAUGGGUAAAUUGGCUAAAUCAUGUGACAGUGUCGGUGGUCCUUAUUAUUGCAAUUAUGAUAAAAUCAUGUUGUAAUAAAUAAUUGCAGUCACCUGACAUGCAAUAAGAUGUAAUCUUUCUGAUUUCUUUUUGCAAGUUUUAAAAGUGCGAGUUUGACAAUGUUGUCAUUAAUUGCAGGCUGAUUUGAUGCAAAUGCAAUUUUUUAUUUAUAAUAAUCAAAACUAUAGGAUUAUAUUAAAGUAUUUAUAAAUAAAUUGUGUCUAGUGCUCUCAUCUUUUAGAAUAUCUUAAUCUCCAUGACGGCUAUCAAACAUAUAUAAACUUUCAUCAUUUAAUAGGGUUAUUUUUGUUAAUACGUCUGUAAUUUUGUUAUUCAUUUUAGGAACAUAUCUCAAUAAUCAUAUCUUUUCGUUAGCAAGAAUAUGUUAGAGUCAUCUUAAUUAAAGCAGGAUUAGUUCUUUGAGGCUUGUUAUCGCUAAUAAUUGCUACGACUUUGAGGUUAUCAGAAUGAAUGGUGAUUUCAUCAUAUCAUUGUUUUUUAAGUAUGUGUAAGUCAUCUAAUAUGUCCUAAAACUCAGCAGCUACAACUGAACACUUCUCCAAAAAGCGAUUAUAGCCUAAAAUCUAAUUUCUCUUCCCAUCACAUAUUACUCUACCUAGAGUGAAAAAACCAAAAAUAGAAUUAACAACACCUUCAAUAUUAAAAAGAAAACCCAUACCUGAUUCCAAACGCUUAGAAGAUUGCUGUAGAUCCAUCAGCAAGACUUCAUUAUUGACUGAGGAAUAUUGCUUUGCCCAAACUGUAGGAAACCUUAAUAAUUUCCUCUAGAUUCAUUAAUUUUCCUUGGAAGAUGAACAGGUUACGAUUUUUCCAAAUGUGCCAAAGUAUUAUCCCGAAGAAGUAAGCCCCGACUGAAUCUCUCAUGUUAUUAUUUGAUUGGUCCUGUAGAUUCAAGAGCAACCAUUCCGAAAUAUUACCUCCAAAGAACCAUUUAUUUUGAUUGGGGGAAAUGAUUUGAGUCCAAAUAUCCUUCGCACAUGGACAGUCCCUAAGAACAUGUAAAACAUCCUCUGUAUGGUGACCACAAAGAAAACAUGACUCAUCAUGACCAAUUCCCCUUCAGACCUUUUCAGAGUUAGUUAAAAGUCUUUGCUUUAGGAUUAUCCAGAUGAACUGUCUAACUAUUUGAGGGCCUGAAAUUUUUCGAACGCUUUUCUGAGUGUCAUUCUUUGCAUUCCAAGACUCCUCAUUUAGCAUCUAAUAUGCACUUUUAAUUGAGAAGACAUCGGUAGUAGUUUUAGACCAAGAAAGAGUAUUUACCCCUGCUGACUCUAUGGGAGGUGGAAUGCUACUGAUACAUUGGAUGACUUCUUCUGGGAACCAUACCCAAAAUAAGUCAAAGUUCCAUGUACCAUUUUCUAUUACCAUCUCAUUCACUUUACAAUUAGAAUAGAUAUUCACAUGACUUGGGACAUGAUUAAUUAAAGGUCCCACAUUAUGUACCCAAGCAUUCUCCCAACAACGAACAGCCCGUCCAUUACCCACUAACCAAAUCAUAUUAUUACACAGUAAAGGCCAAACAUUGACCACAGAUUUUCACAUGAAGGAGCAUCUAUGUCUCAUGAUCCAAUCCGGCAUAGUCUCAUUAAUUCCAUACUUUUUUGUAAUAACUCAAAAUUUUCGGGCAUCAAAAAAGUGAGUUGUCUGGUCUUCAUUUUAGUAAAAUAGAUUCGUAAAUAUUUAUUAAAAAUAUUUACGAAGUUAGCUGUGAGUUUAAUUAGGUUAUGGUUAGGUAAAUCAACUUAAAAUAAGAGUAACUAGGAAAAAUGAUUAAAUUGCAAUAGAGGUGAAAGUUUAAUUAUAGAUUAAAGAAAGUUAAAAGGACCAAAUAGGGAAUUAUGCCAUUUUCAAAUAUUGAGGCGGUUUACUAUAGAAAUAUCAAAGAUAUUUUUUUAUUAAAAUAUAUUAUAUUAUAUUAUAUUAUAUUAUAUUAUAUUAUAUUAUAUUAUAAACAAAAGAAAGAAAAGAAACAAAAACAAAAUAGCAAACAAAAACAGAGAAGAAUAGGGAGAAAAACAAAGGAGGAAAGAAAAAAAGGGAAAUUAGGGUUCCAAGCUAAUUUGGUAAGUCAAUUUAAUUCAUUUUCUUGUGAUUUUUGAGUUUUUAUGAUCCUAGAACAAAAUAUUAUUAGGUAUAUAUUGAAAUUUUGAAAGUUAGUAGAUUUUUGGAUAUAGUUUAUGUUGAAUUAAUUGAUGAAUUAAGGAUUUAAUUGAUAGAAAUUCUAAAUUAGAAUUGGAAAAAGGAUUAAAUUAUGGAAUAAUUUAUAAGUUUUGUGUAAUAAGGACUAAAUUGUAAGAAAUUUGAAUUUAGGGUUUUGUGAUGAAAUUUGAGGGUUAAGUUAAGUUAUAAGUAGAAAUUAAGUGAAAAUAAGGUAUAGAUUUUGAUAGAAAUGAAAAUAAUUUUGGUUAGGGAUUAAAUUGAAAUUAAGGUAAAAAUUGAAUAGAAAAUUUAAAUAUUUGAUGUGAUUUGAUGUUGUAUUGAUAAUUUUAACUUAUUUAAUAUUCAUAGCUAACAUCUGCUGGAGACAUCGACCAAGAAAGGAAAGGAAAAGUCGACAAUGAGUGAUUCGAAAUUACAGUUUGUAUUACUAUAAUUCGAAUUUAGUUAUUAUUUAUUUUUGAAUUUUAAUUAACGUGUGUGGUAAGUGGAAUUGAGGUAAGAAAUGAUAUUGAAUUGUGAAUUAUGUGAAUAUUUGAAUGUACAUUGAUUGGAAAUUGAAAGUUAUUUGAAUUGAAUUAAAUAAGUUAUUAUGAUACUGAAUUGAAAAUAUGAGAAUUUGUGAUUGGUAUGAAUUUAAUUGAAAUUGAAUUGAGAAAGUGAAUUGGAAACCCUAUUAACUAGUUAGGCUAAGUCAGAUAUAGUUGGCAUGCCAUAGGAUUGGAAAUGUUCAGGGAUACUUCGACCUCGAGUCGAUGAGGCACUAUAUGUGUCGUAUUAUUGCUUCGGAUAAUUCUGAUGAGGCACUAUGUGUCGUAUUAUUGCUUCAGAUUAAAUCCGAUGAGGCACUAUAUGUUGUAUUAUUGCUUCGGAUUAAAUUUGAUGAGGUACUAAGUACCGAUUCACUUCGACAAGGCUGAUGAGGCAAAAGGUGUUGUACUGGUGUGCUUGGUUGGAUUCGUGUAUCCGUCAAAGUCCGAGUCAAGUUAAUAGGGGUAAAUGAAAGAAUUGGAAAUUAAAAUUGGUAUUAAAUGAAUUGAUAAACCGUAUGAUUUUGUAUAUGAAUUGGAAUGAGAUAUUGAAUUGAUAUGUGAAAACGAGAUGUUUGAACCAUAGGUUCAUGGAAUGGAUUUUUGAUGUAGUGAAAUAAUGUAUGAAUCAAAAUGGAGAAAAGUUAUUUGAAAUAGCUAUUGUUAAGAAAUGAAAGUUUAGUGCAUAUUUAUUUAUUUAUUUUGCUUUUAAAAUUUGUAUUAUAGUAAUAUCACUGAGUGUAUAUACUCAGUGUACGGUUGUUUCCGUGCGCAAGUUAGUUGAAGUCAAAAGUUUCGGAUCAGCACCCAAGCCAAUCCCAAACUCAGCAAAGUGGUGAUGUAUAUUCUCUUUUGUAAAAUGGCAUUUACCUAGGUUGAUUGUAUAGGUCAUUUUGAAACAUGUUUGUGAAUGGUAUUAUAAAUUAACCUUGGAUGGUUAUAUACAAUAUAAAUAAAAAGUUGAGAUUAUGAAAUGGCAUGUUUGGGUUAUUUUGGUAUGGUAUUUGAAUUGGAUUGAAUGAAAUCAAUUGAAUUGAUUUGGAUAAACAUAUGAUAUAUUUAUGAAAUGUAUGUAAAUUAUCUGUUUAAAUUUCAUAUUUGAUUUGAUAUGUCAGGUAAUACCUCAUAAUUCUAUUUCGGCGACGGUUUAGGGUUAGGAGGUGUUACACUUUUCUCUGAGAACCCUAACCUAUAAAGCUUCAGCCUUGGUGAUAAGACUGUAACUAAUUUUCAUCAUAAAGGUUUUAUUUUGAUCGCAUAGACAAUGAAACCCAAGACCUUCACGUGAUCUAGGUUCGCAAAUGGAAUCCCACCCAACUAAAGUCAUUUUCUUUUUUCCAUCAAAAGCACCCCAGAUGAAUUGCCUUGUCAUUUAUUUGAUUAAAUCACAAAUGCCCUUCGGAAUCAAAAUAGAUUGCAUGAGAUAGCUCAGAAUAGUCAACAGAACUGUUUGUGCUAGUGACCCUCCCUGCAAAAGAAAGCUUUUUAACGUCCCAGCUAGAUAAGCGAUUACGAACUCUUUCCACUAAGAAAUCCAAAGUGCUUUUUGUAACUCUUUGAUAAAAAAAGAGAGACUCCUAAAUAAUGCCCCAUAUCAUUAACUUCUUGGAAACCAAAGAUACUAUUAACUCCCCUCUUUAAAUAUUCCUUAAACUAGCAGAGUAAAAGACAUUAGUCUUCCUAGCAUUGGCAUUAUGACCAGAAAGCUCACAAAAGUUAUCCAAAAUUUUUUUAAGAAAACCACUGUGCUCCAAAUUAGCUCUAUUAAAAGUCACUAAAUCAUCUGUAAAGAAAAGAUAGAGUUUUGGCCCUACAAGUUAUAAUCGAAUAAGGCUCCACUCUUCUGACAAAAUAGUCGAAUGAAAGCGAUGCCCCAACCACUAUAUGCAAACGAUGAAAAGGUAUGAAGACAGGGGGCAGCCUUGAAGAAUUCCCCUUACAGGCUUGAAUUUGGAAGUUAGAGCUCCGUUCCACAAAACCUACAUGGUAGACGUCGAAAUAACAUUCAUAAUAACAUGAAUAAAAUAAGAAGAAAUACAUGCUACAUGGAGUGAAGCGUCUACGAUCAUAAGCUUUCUCCAAAUCAAUAUGGAUAACCAUCUAUGGAGAUUCUUCUUAGUUUUCAUAGAGUGUAAGACUUCCUAUGCAAUGACUAUAUUAUCAAUGAUAUUUCUUCCCGCUAUAAAUCUCGCUUGUUCUUGACCAAUAAUCUUCGGAAAUAUUCUUUUAAACUUGUUUGCAAUGACCUUCAUUACCAACUUAUAGUAAAGAUUAAUGGGUCUAAACUGCGAGAAAUUUUCAAGAUUUGGAACUUUAGGGAUUAAGACAAUAAGAGUGUUAUUAAAAUUUGAGUCAAUAAUUCCACCUUCAAAAAUCUUCCUCACCUACUCACAGAUAGCUCAUCCUAUAUUAUCCCACUGAGUCUGAAAGAACAAUUAUCCCACUGAAAAUGACCACUUCCUAAAGCUUUCAGUUAAGCCAUAUUAAAAAGGGUCAUCUUGAUUUCUUCAUUAGAAAUAGCCCUCCCAAGGAAAUCAAUAUCCUCUUGGUUAAUAUUCGGAAACCCACUUAAACGUAAAUUCCUUACCGGGCCAAGAGCCUUCCACAAAGAUUCUGAAAGAAUUUAACUACUUAUGUUUUAAGGACAACAGUUUCAAAGAUCCACCACCCAUCUAAAUUACAUAAAGCAGUAAUUCUAUUGAAAUUUCUUCCCUAAAUUGUACGUUUAUGAAAAUACUUGUUGUUAUGAUCCCCUAGUUUUUACCAUUCGCAUCUCAAUUUUUGUUUCCAAGGUAUCUCCUCAUGAUAAAGAAUAUUUUCAAUCUCUCCCCGGACCUCCAAUUUACACUAGGCCAGAUAAUUAGUACCAAACAGGUCCAUCGCUCGUUAUAAAUUAGAGAGCUUAUGGGUUAACUAAAUUUUCUGGUGAUUUUAUAUGGCCAUAAAUGCAUUUAUUCCAAUAUUUGAGUUUAUCAAUGAAACCAGCUAUCGUACUUGGCAUAUCUCUAUAAAAAAUCCAAUUAUCUUUUACAAAUUUUAAAAAAUUUGGGUGCUUCAACCAUCUAGCUAAAAAUUGAAAGGCCGGUAGAGAUUAAAGUCUAGACAAAGUUUUAGAAAGAGAGGCUUAUGAUCUGAUUUAAUUCUGUGUAGGUGAGUAACCAAGCAGUUUGGAAAGGACUCCGUCCAAGCUUCAUUACCCAAAGCCCUAUCCAAUCUCUCAAAAAGAUGACCCCGAUGCCAAGUAUAAGGAUGGCCCUAAAAGCCCAAAUCAAGAAGUUGAGCCUUAUCCAUAAAAUCACCAAAAAGCGAGCAUCUGUAUCCUUUCAAAUGAACGCCUUUUUUUCUUCCGAAAAAAGAAUGACAUUAAAAUCACCAAUGGCCAGCCAAGGAUAAUGCCCACACAGAAUAGAAAGACUUAAAUCUCUCCACAAUUCUUUCUUUUUCUAUCUAUCAAGACUGUCAUAAACAAAGACAAUAAAUAUGGGUUGGGAUUAGAGAAAAGAACGAAUACGAGCCAGAAUAAAUUGAGGUUGAUGACCAACCACCUCUAGAUCAAUUGAAUUUUUCCAACCUAACCAAAUACCAUCAGAAAAGCUAAUCGCUUCCACUCAAUGGGAUUUUUCAAAACCCAAUUUAGCAAUGAUAGCAUUAGCUUUAGCCCCACUAGCUCUAAGCUGAAAAAGGUUGACAAUAUAUGGCUUAUAAUGACUAUUAUAUUCAUAGGAAUUUAUCAUUUGCACACCCCUGCACAAUCCAUGAUAGGAUAGAAAAAAUCAUAAUAAAAAAUUAUUAAAAAAGGGAAAAAUAACUUACCUUAAUGACGACCGGUUACAGAAUUAUCCAAUCGCUCUCUUUCUUCCAACGGCACGUCUUUAACCAGAUGCAGCUUGCCCACUCCUCCAUAGAUAAGUUGCUUCGUCCCUUCACUUUGGACCACGAAAUAAAUCCCUCUCUGACCUUGUUUUUCCUUUAGAUUGUACAUAUACUUUAAUAGUGAGACAUCAAGCUAUAUGUCCCUUUGCCCAUAUUUGAUUAUGAAUCCAAUUAUCAACCACCAAGAGCUUCCAACUAGCUAGCUGGAUGCCAACAAUUAGAAUUCAGCAAGUUCAUGACAAACUGGUGAAGAAGCAAGAGAAACCAUGCCUCUAACAAAUACAAUGGCAGAUAGAAUCUUGGCAUUCCCCCUUUGUAGUUUGGCCUAAGCAUGAAGCUCAAAUAAUGCUUCUUAUCCAAAACGCUAAAUUCAUAUUUAUGAUUGUUUUGAAUAAGCCCUCUGCACCUUAACACCCUCUGUAUUUCCCGCUCUAUGGUAAUACACAUAUACUCUCCACGUGCAACCAUCUUAUCUACAACCAUCUACUCUUCAAGGAUUUUCCCUUUAUUACUCUAAAUCAUUGCAAUUCCCCUAAGAACCAUUGUCGUUCCCUUAUUUUCGACGGUGGAAAACCUACCCCUGCCCCUUUGCGAUGAAACUCUACCCACUAUUCCUCAUCUCCUUGCUAGUCUAACCAUGUUUAACUUGUCGAAACGGCAAAAAUGACGAUGAAAAGUUAAAAAUUUCAAAUUGAAACCACCGAAAAGGAACUUCAAAUAGCAUAAUAGCAAGAAAACUUUGAAACCCUAAAAUGACAAAAGUAAUUUCAAAGAAGAUAGCAAACCAGAUUUAUAGAACUCUUGAGCAUACUUAAACGCACCGUUUUGAGAAAAUUAGCCAUAAACAUGUCAUAUAGCCACUUAUGUAGUGUCAAAUGCUCCAUAUCAUGGCCACUUUUCUUAAAAAAACUAUGUAUAUAUGACAGUUACUCUAGAAUAACUCUAGUGCUUCUUUGUCUUCUCUGAUAGAGUAAGUUAU